This 425-nucleotide ribosomal RNA is filed under the name uncultured bacterium. RNAcentral describes it as "bacterial SSU rRNA". It matches the Rfam family "Bacterial small subunit ribosomal RNA", at positions 354 to 796 of the family's 1533-position model. The record is from RNAcentral.
GUGGGGAAUAUUGCACAAUGGGCGAAAGCCUGAUGCAGCAACGCCGCGUGAGUGAUGAAGGCCUUCGGGUCGUAAAGCUCUUUGAUCAGGGAUGAUAAUGACAGUACCUGAAAAACAAGCCACGGCUAACUACGUGCCAGCAGCCGCGGUAAUACGUAGGUGGCGAGCGUUGUCCGGAAUUACUGGGCGUAAAGGAUGCGUAGGUGGAUAUUUAAGUGGGAUGUGAAAUCCCCGGGCUCAACCCGGGAACUGCAUUCCAAACUGGGUAUCUAGAGUGCAGGAGAGGAAAGCGGAAUUCCUAGUGUAGCGGUGAAAUGCGUAGAUAUUAGGAGGAACACCAGUGGCGAAGGCGGCUUUCUGGACUGUAACUGACACUGAGGCAUGAAAGCGUGGGUAGCAAACAGGAUUAGAAACCCCGGUAGUCC